UACGAAAAGAAGAUAUUCUGUCUCCUUGGA
Molecule: non-coding RNA, 30 nt
Filed under: Mus musculus (house mouse)
Lineage: Eukaryota; Metazoa; Chordata; Mammalia; Rodentia; Muridae
Source: RNAcentral